Molecule: ribosomal RNA, 677 nt
Filed under: Termitomyces sp. OE 147
Lineage: Eukaryota; Fungi; Basidiomycota; Agaricomycetes; Agaricales; Lyophyllaceae
Description: eukaryotic LSU rRNA
Rfam family: 5.8S ribosomal RNA (bases 260-413)
Source: RNAcentral
UUAUUGGAAGUAAAAAGUCGUAACAAGGUUUCCGUUAGGUGAACCUGCGGAAGGAUCAUUUAGCGAAGCUCGGAACGCGUGUUCGGUACUGUAGCUGCCCAGCGAUGGGAUGUGCUAUGUCUGGAUGCGUGUCCCUUCUCUAUUCCACCCCACUGUGAACCAAGCGUGUGAGCCGAAGAGAGAUCGGAGGCUUGCACGCAACACUUAACAUACCCCAAUGAAGUAUCAGAAUGUACCUUGCGUUAACUCGCACAAAUACAACUUUCAACAACGGAUCUCUUGGCUCUCGCAUCGAUGAAGAACGCAGCGAAAUGCGAUAAGUAAUGUGAAUUGCAGAAUUCAGUGAAUCAUCGAAUCUUUGAACGCACCUUGCGCCCCUUGGCAUUCCGAGGGGCACGCCUGUUUGAGUGUCGUGAACUCCUCCACUCCUCACCUUUUUCGAAGGGUUGUUGAGCUGGGACUUGGGAGCUUGCGGGUCCCCUGGCCGAUCCGCUCUCCUUGAAUGCAUUAGCGAAGCCCUUUGCGGCCUUGGUGUGAUAGUCAUCUACGCCUUGGCUUAGCGAACCUAAUGGGAGUCGCUUCCAACCGUCUCGCAAGAGACAACACAUACCAACUUGACCUCAAAUCAGGGCGGGACUACCCCCUGAACUUAAGCUUUAGCGGGGGGGGAGAAAAAA